This 416-nucleotide ribosomal RNA is filed under the name uncultured bacterium. RNAcentral describes it as "bacterial SSU rRNA". It matches the Rfam family "Bacterial small subunit ribosomal RNA", at positions 355 to 786 of the family's 1533-position model. The record is from RNAcentral.
UGGGGAAUCUUGCGCAAUGGGCGAAAGCCUGACGCAGCAACGCCGCGUGAGGGAUGACGGCCUUCGGGUUGUAAACCUCUUCAGCGGGACGAAGCGAGAGUGACGGUACCCGCAGAAGAAGCGCCGGCCAACUACGUGCCAGCAGCCGCGGUAAUACGUAGGGCGCAAGCGUUGUCCGGAUUUAUUGGGCGUAAAGAGCUCGUAGGCGGUCUGUCGCGUCGGUUGUUAAAUCCCGGGGCUUAACUCCGGGUUGCUGCCGAUACGGGCAGACUUGAGGCAGGUAGGGGAGAGUGGAAUUCCUGGUGUAGCGGUGAAAUGCGCAGAUAUCAGGAGGAACACCGGUGGCGAAGGCGGCUCUCUGGGCCUGUCCUGACGCUGAGGAGCGAAAGCGUGGGGAGCGAACAGGAUUAGAUACC